GCUGGGUGAGGUGGUGCACACCUGUAAUCCCAGCUAUGCCAGAGGCUGAGGCAAGAGGAUCACAAGUUUGAGGCCAGCCUCAGCAAUUCAGUGAGACCCUCAGCAACCUAGUGAGACCCUGUAUCAA
This 127-nucleotide small RNA is filed under the name Marmota monax (woodchuck). The record is from RNAcentral. Lineage: Eukaryota; Metazoa; Chordata; Mammalia; Rodentia; Sciuridae.